GACGGAGGGUGCUAGCGUUGUUCGGAAUUACUGGGCGUAAAGGGCGCGUAGGCGGAUUGUUAAGUCAGGGGUGAAAUCCUGGAGCUCAACUCCAGAACUGCCUUUGAUACUGGCGAUCUCGAGUCCGGGAGAGGUGAGUGGAACUGCGAGUGUAGAGGUGAAAUUCGUAGAUAUUCGCAAGAACACCAGUGGCGAAGGCGGCUCACUGGCCCGGUACUGACGCUGAGGUGCGAAAGCGUGGGGAGCAAACAGG
This 253-nucleotide ribosomal RNA is filed under the name uncultured bacterium. RNAcentral's name for it is "partial 16S ribosomal RNA". It matches the Rfam family "Bacterial small subunit ribosomal RNA", at positions 524 to 776 of the family's 1533-position model. The record is from RNAcentral.